This 465-nucleotide ribosomal RNA is filed under the name uncultured bacterium. RNAcentral describes it as "partial 16S ribosomal RNA". It matches the Rfam family "Bacterial small subunit ribosomal RNA", at positions 338 to 795 of the family's 1533-position model. The record is from RNAcentral.
CCUAGGGGUGGCAGCAGUGGGGAAUAUUGCUCAAUGGGCGAAAGCCUGACGCAGCGAAGCCGCGUGAGGGAUGAAGGUCUUCUGAUCGUAAACCUCUGUCAGCAGGGAAGAAAGGUCACUGUGCUAAUCAGCAGUGAAUUGACGGUACCUGCAAAGGAAGCACCGGCUAACUCCGUGCCAGCAGCCGCGGUAAUACGGAGGGUGCGAGCGUUAAUCGGAUUUACUGGGUGUAAGGGGCGCGUAGGCGGUAUGUCAAGUCAAGGGUGAAAUCCCCGGGCUCAACGUGGGAACUGCCUUUGAAACUGGCAAACUUGAGUGCGUGAGAGGAUAGUGGAAUUCCAGGUGUAGGAGUGAAAUCCGUAGAUAUCUGGAGGAACAUCAGUGGCGAAGGCGACUAUCUGGCACAUAACUGACGCUGAGGAGCGAAAGCGUGGGUAGCAAACAGGAUUAGAUACCCGUGUAGUC